Molecule: ribosomal RNA, 264 nt
Filed under: uncultured bacterium
Lineage: Bacteria
Description: partial 16S ribosomal RNA
Rfam family: Bacterial small subunit ribosomal RNA
Source: RNAcentral
GUCCACGCCGUAAACGAUGUCGACUAGCCGUUGGGAGCCUUGAGCUCUUAGUGGCGUAGCUAACGCAUUAAGUCGACCGCCUGGGGAGUACGGCCGCAAGGUUAAAACUCAAAAUGAAUUGACGGGGGCCCGCACAAGCGGUGGAGCAUGUGGUUUAAUUCGAAGCAACGCGAAGAACCUUACCUGGCCUUGACAUGCUGAGAACUUUCCAGAGAUGGAUUGGUGCCUUCGGGAACUCAGACACAGGUGCUGCAUGGCUGUCGU